UUCGAGCGUCAUUACAACCCUCAAGCAUAGCUUGGUAUUGGGCUCCGCUGCUUACACAGCGGGCCUUAAAAUCAGUGGCGGUGCGUCGGGCUCCUGAGCGCAGUAAAUAUCCUCGCUUUUGGACCCGUUGGACGCUUGCCAGCAACCCCCAACUUUUUUAGUUUGACCUCGGAUCAGGUAGGGAUACCCGCUGAACUUAA
This 200-nucleotide unclassified non-coding RNA is filed under the name soil metagenome. RNAcentral describes it as "partial contains internal transcribed spacer 2 and large subunit ribosomal RNA". The record is from RNAcentral.